CCUACGGGGGGCUGCAGUGGGGAAUAUUGGACAAUGGGCGAAAGCCUGAUCCAGCCAUGCCGCGUGUGUGAAGAAGGCCUACGGGUUGUAAAGCACUUUCAGUGGGGAAGAAAGCCUUGGGGCUAAUACCCUCGAGGAAGGACAUCACCCACAGAAGAAGCACCGGCUAACUCCGUGCCAGCAGCCGCGGUAAUACGGAGGGUGCGAGCGUUAAUCGGAAUUACUGGGCGUAAAGCGCGCGUAGGCGGUCUGAUAAGCCGGUUGUGAAAGCCCCGGGCUCAACCUGGGAACGGCAUCCGGAACUGUCAGGCUAGAGUGCAGGAGAGGAAGGUAGAAUUCCCGGUGUAGCGGUGAAAUGCGUAGAGAUCGGGAGGAAUACCAGUGGCGAAGGCGGCCUUCUGGACUGACACUGACGCUGAGGUGCGAAAGCGUGGGUAGCAAACAGGAUUAGAUACCCGAGUAGUC
RNAcentral lists this ribosomal RNA (465 nucleotides) under Vreelandella stevensii. Its description in RNAcentral is "partial 16S ribosomal RNA". It matches the Rfam family "Bacterial small subunit ribosomal RNA", at positions 338 to 795 of the family's 1533-position model. Lineage: Bacteria; Pseudomonadati; Pseudomonadota; Gammaproteobacteria; Oceanospirillales; Halomonadaceae. The record is from RNAcentral.